GGCGCAUCUGUUUUGAGAUGGACGUUGAGAGGUGACUCAAAUUUUUUUGCAGAAAUUGCUUGAAAACAAAUCAAAUAAUAAUAUUUGAGUUA
This is a long non-coding RNA of Diabrotica virgifera virgifera (western corn rootworm), 92 nucleotides long. RefSeq lists it as uncharacterized. The transcript is spliced from 2 exons. Lineage: Eukaryota; Metazoa; Arthropoda; Insecta; Coleoptera; Chrysomelidae. The record is from RefSeq and is a predicted model, not a curated record.